This is a long non-coding RNA of Daphnia pulicaria, 455 nucleotides long. RefSeq lists it as uncharacterized. The transcript is spliced from 3 exons. The record is from RefSeq and is a predicted model, not a curated record. NCBI's taxonomy places the organism in Eukaryota, Metazoa, Arthropoda, Branchiopoda, Diplostraca, Daphniidae.
UUACUCAAGACAAGUUUCGAAAAGGAGACUAAUUUAAUAUAAUAAGAUUUCAUAAAAAAACGGAACGAUUAAUUUUGUGGAUGCACGAAAAUAAAAUUACGAAAUGUGGUCAUCAUUCAUUAUGUCAACUUUGGUGUCUUCCAUGCUUGAUCUCCACUCCAUGCUGUUUGGCGGAUCUGAAGGAGCUAGCCAUCGUAACAGCAAAGUUUUUCUUGUGCUGGACCACCACCAGUCAUCCACCAGUCAUAUGCUUUGACUGAUGACCUCAUGCCAUCAGCAACAAUCACAGUAUCAUCGCUUAGAUAAACAGCAUCCGGUUUAAUUGGAGAAACUUCCAGUAUCGACCGAGUUAAGGAUCUCUUCAAUUCCCCUUUCCUUUUCUUGUCCUCGUGUACGCCCAUGCGAGUGUGGGUGUAUUCACGAGGACUCCCUUUUACCUAUCCCUCCUGGUGGAU